Molecule: ribosomal RNA, 550 nt
Filed under: uncultured marine bacterium
Lineage: Bacteria
Description: bacterial SSU rRNA
Rfam family: Bacterial small subunit ribosomal RNA
Source: RNAcentral
CGGGUUAGUGGCGGACGGGUGAGUAACGCGUGAGAAUCUGCCCUCAGGAGGGGGAUAACGGUUGGAAACGACCGCUAAUACCCCAUAUGCCUACUGGUGAAACGAAUUUCGCCUGAGGAUGAGCUCGCGUCUGAUUAGCUAGUUGGUGAGGUAAUGGCUCACCAAGGCUUCGAUCAGUAGCUGGUCUGAGAGGAUGAUCAGCCACACUGGGACUGAGACACGGCCCAGACUCCUACGGGAGGCAGCAGUGGGGAAUUUUCCGCAAUGGGCGAAAGCCUGACGGAGCAACGCCGCGUGAGGGACGAAGGCCUCUGGGCUGUAAACCUCUUUUCUCAAGGAAGAAGAUAUGACGGUACUUGAGGAAUAAGCCACGGCUAAUUCCGUGCCAGCAGCCGCGGUAAUACGGGAGUGGCAAGCGUUAUCCGGAAUUAUUGGGCGUAAAGCGUCCGCAGGCGGCUUUUCAAGUCUGCUGUUAAAGCGUGGAGCUUAACUCCAUCAUGGCAGUGGAAACUGAAAGGCUUGAGUAUGGUAGGGGCAGAGGGAAUUCCCG